RNAcentral lists this ribosomal RNA (460 nucleotides) under uncultured bacterium. RNAcentral describes it as "partial 16S ribosomal RNA". It matches the Rfam family "Bacterial small subunit ribosomal RNA", at positions 338 to 795 of the family's 1533-position model. The record is from RNAcentral.
CCUACGGGAGGCAGCAGUGAGGAAUAUUGGUCAAUGGCCGUAAGGCUGAACCAGCCAAGUCGCGUGAAGGAAGAAGGAUCUAUGGUUUGUAAACUUCUUUUAUAGGGGAAUAAAGGUAUCCACGUGUGGAGAUUUGCAUGUACCCUAUGAAUAAGCAUCGGCUAACUCCGUGCCAGCAGCCGCGGUAAUACGGAGGAUGCGAGCGUUAUCCGGAUUUAUUGGGUUUAAAGGGUGCGUAGGUUGUUUUUUAAGUCAGCGGUGAAAGUUUGUGGCUCAACCAUAAAAUUGCCGUUGAAACUGGGAGACUUGAGUGUGUUUGAGGUAGGCGGAAUGCGUGGUGUAGCGGUGAAAUGCAUAGAUAUCACGCAGAACUCCGAUUGCGAAGGCAGCUUACUAAGCCAUAACUGACGCUGAAGCACGAAAGCGUGGGGAUCAAACAGGAUUAGAUACCCUUGUAGUC